Long non-coding RNA from Aedes albopictus (Asian tiger mosquito), 576 nucleotides. RefSeq lists it as uncharacterized. The record is from RefSeq and is a predicted model, not a curated record. The transcript is spliced from 3 exons. NCBI's taxonomy places the organism in Eukaryota, Metazoa, Arthropoda, Insecta, Diptera, Culicidae.
GUGUGUUUUGCCGUGUUUGUUUUGACAGCGCAUGCACUGGUUGCACUCGUGGUCGAUCAUCUGUAAAUAUAAACAGAAAUUGAUUCUGCUGGUUGGCUAUUUGAUCGUGCGGUGAUAAAAAUGGGACGUAAAACUUGUUGUGUGCCGGGAUGUUUCAGCACUUCCACCGCCGGAAGGAAGUCUUUUUUUUCAAAUCGUAGAAACACACAGAGAUACGGCUGCCUGGAAACGAUUUUGCAAUGCCGCAAACCUACCGGAAAGCAGUGUUAUUUGUGAAGAUCAUUUUGCAAUCGAGGACUUCAUCAACGCAUCGAACAAAAGCCAGGGGUUACGACGGAAUGCUGUACCGCGCCUCCGAGGAGUUUGUCUCGCGGAUGUCACUGAAAAUGAUUCAAUGGACUUCGAAAGCAAUUGUUACGCGCAAGAAAAUGAUAGCUUUUCUGAAACAGGAGAUGCUAUGGAAGUGGCAGCGGAGCUAGAAAUUGAGUCGAGCUGUUCGCCCGAUCUGCGUCAAAAGACUGUAUCGACUGAUAAGGUUUACCUGGCGGUCACACAUGCUGUCAAUAACGAUCACGA